This 506-nucleotide ribosomal RNA is filed under the name uncultured Bacillota bacterium. RNAcentral describes it as "bacterial SSU rRNA". It matches the Rfam family "Bacterial small subunit ribosomal RNA", at positions 380 to 903 of the family's 1533-position model. Lineage: Bacteria; Bacillati; Bacillota. The record is from RNAcentral.
AGCCUGAGCAGCGACGCCGCGUGGGGGAGAAGGCCUUCGGGUUGUAAACCUCUUUUCGCGGGGAAGAAAAUGGACGGUACCUCAGGAAAAACCCCCGGCUAACUCCGUGCCAGCAGCCGCGGUAAUACCGAGGGGGCAAGCGUUCCCCGGAAUUGUUGGGCGAAAGGCGCGCGUAGGCGGUCGGAUAAGUCUCUUGUGAAACCCCCCGGCUCAACUGGGACAGGUCAUGGAAUACUCUUCUACUGGAGGACGGAAGAGGAAAGCAGAAUUCCCGGUGUAGCGGUGAAAUGCGAAUAUAUCGGGAAGAACACCAGUGGCGAAAGCGGCUUUCUGGACCGUUCCUGACGCUGAGGCACGAAAGCGUGGGGAACAAACAGGAUUAAAUACCCUGGUAGUCCACCCCCUAAACGAUGGAUACUAGGUGUGGGGGUUAUCGACCCCCUUGGUGUCGCAGCUAACGCGAUUAUCCUCCCGCCUGGGUACUACGGCCGCGAUGCUAAUACUCA